AAGCUUUGGAACAACUGCUCGCUAGAGCAGACAGAGCAGAAGGCCCAGGAAGAGAAGAUGACACAAAGAUCUAGAGAGGGGAAGCAGCUUGUUCAAGAGGAUCUAAGUCAAUGUCACAAAGAAGUUAUUUAAAUGAAAGAGGACGAUAAAAGGAAAGAGAGAG
This is a long non-coding RNA of Gracilinanus agilis (Agile Gracile Mouse Opossum), 163 nucleotides long. RefSeq lists it as uncharacterized. Lineage: Eukaryota; Metazoa; Chordata; Mammalia; Didelphimorphia; Didelphidae. The record is from RefSeq and is a predicted model, not a curated record. The transcript has 3 exons.